GUCCCGACCACCUCCCAGUUUGCCGACAUCUUCACCAAGGGACUACCCUCCUCGACCUUCUUGGAGUUUCGCUCCAACCUCAACGUAGCAGGUGGCUAGUUGUGGAUGCGCGGGGGGUGGGGGUAUUUGACCUUUGUACUUUCUUCUUGUGUAGUCUUGAACACCGCUGCGAUGGUAGUUCAGACUGCAGGGGAUGUUGGCUUUCUUGUUGUCCAGUCUUGAACACCGCUGCGCCGGUAGUUCAGACUGGGGGGGUGCUGGUGUAUAUUGAGCCCAUGUAUAGAGGCCCAUCUAGAUGCUCAUGUAUAGAAACUAUAUAUCCCACCCUUCUAUGGUUUGGAUGUAUAGAUCCGAUUAUUCUCUCCUACAGAUAUAUGUAUAUACCUACAUUAGGUUCAGGCUACUAAUUCAUACCUACAAUUCUACUACUGUUUUGUUUACUACAGAUAUAUGUAUAUACCUACAUUAGGUUCAGGCUACUAAUUCAUACCUACAUUAACGAGCCACGAUGCCAUUCAGAUCCAUCAGGCGACACAUUGCAGGUCCUUUAGUUUUAAUUUACUACUGUUUUGUCUCCUUUUAAUUUUGUAGCCUGCACAUGUUCUAACACUUUUUUCAGAUGGGCUGCGAAUGUGGUAUGCUGGAACAGCAGCACCAGCAGAUCCUUAUGAAAUCCAGAGUCGGGUGCGAUUAAAUUUUACUAGCAUAGGCAGAUCUAGGAGCAUGGGUAAUCGAGGAAUUGGUGUAGCAGCUUUAGUAUUAAAGUGCUCCUUUUCAAUAGACAUAUCCAUAUUGUAACACCAAUUGAAUUAUUGUUGCUGAGCAGCUUGGCGUCGAAUUUGUACAUACUAUAUAUGAUGAGCUCUGGUUGACAUCUGGGCUUCAGUUGUUGAUGUGUUUGAUUGAAAUUUAUGUGAUUGUGAACCAUUUAAAUUAAA
Molecule: long non-coding RNA, 938 nt
Organism: Panicum virgatum (switchgrass)
Lineage: Eukaryota; Viridiplantae; Streptophyta; Magnoliopsida; Poales; Poaceae
Exons: 2
Source: RefSeq, a predicted model, not a curated record